This 394-nucleotide long non-coding RNA is filed under the name Setaria italica (foxtail millet). RNAcentral's name for it is "long non-coding RNA (SITA_LNC001660)". Lineage: Eukaryota; Viridiplantae; Streptophyta; Magnoliopsida; Poales; Poaceae. The record is from RNAcentral.
UAAGUGCGGUUAUUUCUUCCAACCGUCGUGGUUGUUUUGAAAAAAAACUCUUAACUUUUUCAUAAUCAAUCCGCAAUCCUUGUAUAUGGAAAAAGAAAACAGGAGGUCGAUGGGAUCCCGUCUACACGCACACGCUCAACUUCCUACGCGGCUCCGGACAUGGCAAGAAAUCGAUCCGAACACGAAGCAGAAAAGGCAGAGAGGAUUCAAGAUAUAAAAUCGACAGGGAACCAUCAUCAAGAAUAGGUUGAGCGAAUCCGCGCACCAUGAAAGAGAACAAGGCAGGGAGGUCAAUGCGCCGAAACGAGUUCGCUCGUGGGGCUGCUCGCCAUCGCAGCGCGAGCGUCUGCCCGUCCACCGCACCGGGCCAUGGCCCCGAGGCGGCGAGGUGCCU